Long non-coding RNA from Tribolium castaneum (red flour beetle), 436 nucleotides. RefSeq lists it as uncharacterized. Lineage: Eukaryota; Metazoa; Arthropoda; Insecta; Coleoptera; Tenebrionidae. The record is from RefSeq and is a predicted model, not a curated record. The transcript has 2 exons.
CAAAUUUCAUUUACGGCUUUGAUCCGAUUUCAAUUACGAUUUGCAAGUUGAAUCGCAAGUUAUCUAUCAUCUUAUGUCACUCUGACAUUAGCGCAGAGAACGAUCAUUAGUGUCAUUCAGUUCUCGCGGAAUGAAAGAAAAAGUAGAAAAGCCUUUUCGGUGUAAACUCCAAUAAAAAAUGAAUGAGAGAAUGAAACAUUAUUAAAGGUAUAGCGAAAAAUGUGUUCAAAACGUUUGUCUCCUGCUUGUUUUUCUUGGAAGAAGAAAGGCUCGAUUAUGUAUUUUACGAAGAUGCGAGAUGCCAUACUAAACGUUCACCAAAACCAUUGGAAAUGUGUUUCACUUAUCCACAGUGGAUUUUUCUGAGCAUAGCAAUGGCAGAAAAUUGGGCUUCAUAACUGAAUUAAAUUUUCUGAAUAAAGUUGUUACCAACUUG